CCCUCUAUACUCUACAUAUAGGCUCCAAUUUACUUCUAGCCUAUAGUAGCUCCUUCCUUUCCACGUUCGCUCAUUUCGACGGAACUCGGCACGACUUACGGGGAAGUGAUAUGUUACAUAGUUCCUACUAAUUUCAUAACCAAACGGAGUCUAAAAAAUAUUGUAAAACUAAAAUCUACUAUUUUCUCUAAAAAAUCUUACAAUAUUUUUCGGGUCACCUCCCCGACUCGCCCAACUUUCUCCUUCUCAUCUCUGAUCUCCCUUCCAUUGCCCUCUCCACAACUCCUAACCAUCUCACCGCUGCUGCUGCUGCUCUUAUCUCAGCCGCCGCCGCCGCCACACUCAUUUCGGCCACCGCCGUUGCUGCACUCAUCUCUCCCACCGCCGCAACAGUCACAGUCACCUUGGCCGCCGCCGCCACACUAACCUCGGCCGACAUUUUCUUACCUCGAGUUUCUCUACCCCCUCGACUU
Molecule: long non-coding RNA, 473 nt
Filed under: Ananas comosus (pineapple)
Lineage: Eukaryota; Viridiplantae; Streptophyta; Magnoliopsida; Poales; Bromeliaceae
Description: long non-coding RNA (ACOM_LNC037968)
Source: RNAcentral